Molecule: unclassified non-coding RNA, 282 nt
Filed under: uncultured fungus
Lineage: Eukaryota; Fungi
Description: partial contains 5.8S ribosomal RNA, internal transcribed spacer 2, and large subunit ribosomal RNA
Source: RNAcentral
AACGCAUAUUGCACUCCCUGGCAUUCCGGAGAGUAUGCCUGUUUGAGGGUCGGUCGAAUAAAAAUCGACGUCUUUUUUUCGUCGGAAUUGGGUCGUUCUUUUUUUUUAACCGAAGUGACCUAAAAUUGAAAUUUCUUUUUUUUCGAUGAACUCGUCUAAAUUUUUUGUGGGUUCGUCUUAAAAAUGUGCAUUGAACGUGACCAUUUUUUUGUGGUUGAUCGUGUUCAUGAUUUUUUUUCACAAUUCGACCUCAAAUCAGGUAAGAGUACCCGCUGAACUUAA